UUACGGUCAUAUCACGUUCAAAUACCGGUUCCCGUACGAUCGCCGAAUUUAAGCAACGUAGAUCCUGGUCAGUACCUAGAUGGGUGAGCGCUUAGGAAUACCAAAUACUGUA
Acanthosepion pharaonis is the source of this 112-nucleotide non-coding RNA. The record is from the annotation of a GenBank genome assembly. NCBI's taxonomy places the organism in Eukaryota, Metazoa, Mollusca, Cephalopoda, Sepiida, Sepiidae.